This is a long non-coding RNA of Myotis davidii, 179 nucleotides long. RefSeq lists it as uncharacterized. The transcript is spliced from 2 exons. Lineage: Eukaryota; Metazoa; Chordata; Mammalia; Chiroptera; Vespertilionidae. The record is from RefSeq and is a predicted model, not a curated record.
UCUUGUGGGAGGGUAUGAAGGUCAAUUUGCUAUUACCUCUUUAUUAUAUAGGAUUACUACACUGUGACCUAAUGCAGAAAUAUGGAUAGGCAUACAUGUGUAAAUAGAAUGCAAAAAAGAGAAAAGAUCUUUACUUCUAGGUUUUAAUACUAUCUUAAAAAUGGUCAGAUCAGCUGCUA